This 78-nucleotide small RNA is filed under the name Flavobacterium haoranii. RNAcentral's name for it is "Flavobacterium sp. LQY-7 Flavo-1 RNA". It matches the Rfam family "Flavo-1 RNA". Lineage: Bacteria; Pseudomonadati; Bacteroidota; Flavobacteriia; Flavobacteriales; Flavobacteriaceae. The record is from Rfam by way of RNAcentral.
AACUACCCCAGAUAGUAGCGAUAGCUUUUGAUUAAUGCAAAGCAUUUAUUAAAACUAAAGCGAAUAGCUGGAAAUAGG